RNAcentral lists this ribosomal RNA (494 nucleotides) under uncultured bacterium. Its description in RNAcentral is "partial 16S ribosomal RNA". It matches the Rfam family "Bacterial small subunit ribosomal RNA", at positions 28 to 507 of the family's 1533-position model. The record is from RNAcentral.
GACGAACGCUGGCGGCGUGCUUAACACAUGCAAGUCGAACGGUGAAGCGCCUUCCUUUUUGGUGGGUGUGGAUGAGUGGCGAACGGGUGAGUAACACGUGAGUAACCUGCCCCCUUCUUCUGGAUAACCGCAUGAAAGUGUGGCUAAUACGGGAUAUUCUGGGUCUGUCGCAUGAUGGGUCUGGGAAAGAUAUUGUUUCGGUGGGGGAUGGGCUCGCGGCCUAUCAGCUUGUUGGUGGGGUGAUGGCCUACCAAGGCGGUGACGGGUAGCCGGCCUGAGAAGGUGGACGGUCACGCUGGGACGGAGACACGGCCCAGACUCCUACGGGACGCAGCAGUGGGGAAUAUUGGACAAUGGGGGGAAGCCUGAUGCAGCGACGCCGCGUGAGGGAUGGAGGCCUUCGGGUUGUGAACCUCUUUCGCCAGUGAAGCAGACCUGCCUCGUUUGUGGGUGGGUUGACGGUAGCUGGAUAAGAAGCGCCGGCUAACUACGUG